This 387-nucleotide ribosomal RNA is filed under the name uncultured Bifidobacterium sp. Its description in RNAcentral is "bacterial SSU rRNA". It matches the Rfam family "Bacterial small subunit ribosomal RNA", at positions 368 to 763 of the family's 1533-position model. The record is from RNAcentral. Lineage: Bacteria; Bacillati; Actinomycetota; Actinomycetes; Bifidobacteriales; Bifidobacteriaceae.
ACAAUGGGCGCAAGCCUGAUGCAGCGACGCCGCGUGCGGGAUGACGGCCUUCGGGUUGUAAACCGCUUUUGACUGGGAGCAAGCCCUUCGGGGUGAGUGUACCUUUCGAAUAAGCACCGGCUAACUACGUGCCAGCAGCCGCGGUAAUACGUAGGGUGCAAGCGUUAUCCGGAAUUAUUGGGCGUAAAGGGCUCGUAGGCGGUUCGUCGCGUCCGGUGUGAAAGUCCAUCGCUUAACGGUGGAUCUGCGCCGGGUACGGGCGGGCUGGAGUGCGGUAGGGGAGACUGGAAUUCCCGGUGUAACGGUGGAAUGUGUAGAUAUCGGGAAGAACACCAAUGGCGAAGGCAGGUCUCUGGGCCGUUACUGACGCUGAGGAGCGAAAGCGUG